Mytilus californianus (California mussel) is the source of this 371-nucleotide long non-coding RNA. RefSeq lists it as uncharacterized. Lineage: Eukaryota; Metazoa; Mollusca; Bivalvia; Mytilida; Mytilidae. The record is from RefSeq and is a predicted model, not a curated record. The transcript is spliced from 3 exons.
GAAACUGCUGACGCUACCUUUCCCAGAAACUGCAGCAAUUGCGAGUACAUGAUCACAGCAAAUAUAGAAAGAAUAAAAGCGGUAACUUGUUUUCUAUGAUAACGAUGCUGACUAUAUUAUACCUACUUGCUUUGUGCACCAUCUUGCUCAAUGUAGAUGGAAAACAGACGUGUCUUGCACCCAAAGAGAAAAAUAUUUUGAAAACCAUUAGAAACAGUAUGCAAAAACUCAAUUCUCAGAUCAUUGGAUUAGAAGAAAGCUUAAAACUCAGCACAGUCGGAGAAACGGGUGGUUGUCAGAAAGGAUGGACGAGAUAUAGAAAUCACUGCUACUUCUUUGGUUUAAAUAAACUUGACUGGUUUGAGGCACAG